UGGGGAGCCGGAGCGAAAGCGAGUCUGAAUAGGGCGUUUAGUCGCAUUCUGUAGACCCGAAUCCGAGUGAUCUAUCCAUGGGCAGGUUGAAGCGGGGGUAAGACCUCGUGGAGGACCGAACCCACCUAGGUUAAAAACUGGGGGGAUGACCUGUGGAUAGGGGUGAAAGGCCAAUCAAACUCGGUGAUAGCUGGUUCUCCCCGAAAUGCAUUUAGGUGCAGCGUCGUGUGUUCAGUCAUGGGGGUAGAGCACUGAAUGGGUUAGGGGGCCUACAAGCUUACCGACCCCAAUCAAACUCCAAAUACCAUGACUCCAGAGCACGGCAGUGAGACUGCGGGGGAUGAGCUUCGCAGUCGAAAGGGAAACAGCCCAGAUCGCCAGCUAAGGCCCCAAAUUCUGGACUAAGUGUAAAACGAUGUGAGAUUGCCCAGACAGCCAGGAGGUUGGCUUAGAAGCAGCCAUCCUUGAAAGAGUGCGUAACAGCUCACUGGUCGAGUGAUCUUGCGCGGAUAAUGUAACGGGGG
Molecule: ribosomal RNA, 524 nt
Filed under: uncultured bacterium
Lineage: Bacteria
Description: bacterial LSU rRNA
Rfam family: Bacterial large subunit ribosomal RNA
Source: RNAcentral